RNAcentral lists this ribosomal RNA (200 nucleotides) under uncultured bacterium. RNAcentral describes it as "partial 16S ribosomal RNA". It matches the Rfam family "Bacterial small subunit ribosomal RNA", at positions 29 to 254 of the family's 1533-position model. The record is from RNAcentral.
AGCGAACGCUGGCGGCAGGCCUAACACAUGCAAGUCGGGCGGCCGUAGCAAUACGGCAGCGGCAGACGGGGUAGUAACACGUGGGAACGCGCCCUUCGGUUCGGAAUAACUCAGGGAAACUUGAGCUAAUACCGGAUACGCCCUUACGGGGAAAGAUUUAUUGCCGAAGGAACGGCCCGCGUCCGAUUAGCUAGUUGGUG